CUGAAGGAACAUUGAGGAGGAAACCAAGGGUUGAUGCUAGCAUAAUCAAAUCAGCAUUGGUAUCCUCCUUCUUGUUCCUUUCC
Anolis carolinensis (green anole) is the source of this 83-nucleotide microRNA precursor. Lineage: Eukaryota; Metazoa; Chordata; Lepidosauria; Squamata; Anolidae. The record is from Ensembl.